UAAAAAUAAAUAUAAAGUGAGUACUGUACAGUUUGUAUUCUGUGUUGUAAUUGAAAUAUAUUUGAAAAUGCAGAAAACAUCCAAAAAAUAUUUGAAUAAACACUGUUCUAUUACUGUUUAAUCGCACAAUCAUGAUUAAUUUUUUUAAAUGCUUGACAGCCCUAGUUUACAAACAAAGUCUCAACAAAUAGUCUCACUAAAGCUCUGAAGUUACACCAAUUUAAUUAAAGCAACUGUGUGUGUAGACACUCUCAUAUUAGUUUAACUUACACUAAAUAAAAUAAAUUGGAAGGUACAAUAUUUAAGAAGUUGGGGGAGAACAAGUUUACAAAAUAAUGGAUGAGGAUGGGGUGGGAGCAGCAGUAGAGGAAAAGGAAAAUGCCUUGAGAAAGAGAGAAAAGGAGGUUUUAUAGAAGUGUAUUUAGAGCUGGUGAAAGGUGCUGGUCUGACGGCCCUCAAGAUUGUCAGUCUCCACUUAUCUAGCAUGGGCAGAGGCACCAGCAUGCCCAAGCCCUAGCGUAUAGGGACCCUCACCAGUGCUGGGAGGGUGGGGGGUGAAAUCUCAGUGCUAAGUCAGUCCUUAGCCCUGUUGCUUGGACCCCCACCUACUUACUAUGCUUCUGUGCAAACGGGGCUAGUCCCCCAACACACUCCUCCUCUACCACCUCGCCAGGAGACCAGCCCCGAUGGGAUCCCAUGUCUCCCUGGACUGGAGAUGCCCAAAGGACUAACUGGGAUUUCCGUUUCUGGGACUCACCCUCCCUGGGGCUCAGUGUGGGGGGCACUGGGCUCCUCCACUUGCCAGGACAGUGUCUGUGAACUAAUCAUCCCCUGGUCCCCCACACACCCCACAACAGGUCUCCCCAAAACUCUGAUAGGCAGAUGCCUAGGACCUUGUCACCCCUACACCUCACCAGGCCUUUCUGACAAGCUCUGACCUGGGUCCCCCUCCAGGAUCCUGGGGGGGCAGCCCUAGGGCCAGCCACUUCCCCCAAAGGGGGGCAUUCCUAGGGUCUCCCCCAACACUCACUGGGGGGGCACAGCCUGGGGUCAGCCACUUCCCCCAAAGGGGGGGCCAUUCCUGUGGUCAGCCCCUCCCCUACACUCCCGGGGGGGGCAGCCUGGGGUCGCCACUUCCCCUAAAGGGGGGGUAUUGCUCGGGUCAGCCCCCCCAACACUCCCGGGGGGGCAGCCUGGCCUGGGCUCAGCCACUUCCCCCACAGGGGAGUAUUGCUCGGGUCAGCCCCCCCAACACUCCCGGGGGGGCAGCCUGGGCUCAGCCACUUCCCCUAAAGGGGGGGCAUUGCUCGGGUCAGCCCCCCCAACACUCCGGGGGGGGCAGCCUGGACUCAGCCACUUCCCCCACAGGGGGGUAUUGCUCGGGUCAGCCCCCCCAACACUCCCGGGGGGGCAGCCUGGGCUCAGCCACUUCCCCCACAGGGGGGCAUUGCUCGGGUCAGCCCCCCCAACACUCCCGGGGGGGCAGCCUGGGCUCAGCCACUUCCCCUAA
Gopherus flavomarginatus (Mexican gopher tortoise) is the source of this 1510-nucleotide long non-coding RNA. RefSeq lists it as uncharacterized. The transcript has 3 exons. The record is from RefSeq and is a predicted model, not a curated record. Lineage: Eukaryota; Metazoa; Chordata; Testudines; Testudinidae.